AAAAGUAGAACUGACAUAAUACAAA
Molecule: non-coding RNA, 25 nt
Filed under: Cricetulus griseus (Chinese hamster)
Lineage: Eukaryota; Metazoa; Chordata; Mammalia; Rodentia; Cricetidae
Source: RNAcentral